RNAcentral lists this ribosomal RNA (237 nucleotides) under uncultured bacterium. RNAcentral describes it as "partial 16S ribosomal RNA". It matches the Rfam family "Bacterial small subunit ribosomal RNA", at positions 57 to 305 of the family's 1533-position model. The record is from RNAcentral.
GCAAGUCGAGCGAGAAAGGUCUUUGGACUGAGUAGAGCGGCGGACGGGUGAGUAACGCGUAGGAAUCUACCUAGUAGUGGGGGACAACAUGUGGAAACGCAUGCUAAUACCGCAUACGCCCUACGGGGGAAAGGGGGCUUCGGCUCUCGCUAUUAGAUGAGCCUGCGUAAGAUUAGCUAGUUGGUGGGGUAAAGGCUCACCAAGGCGACGAUCUUUAGCUGGUCUGAGAGGAUGAUC